UACGUAGGGUCCGAGCGUUGUCCGGAAUUAUUGGGCGUAAAGAGCUCGUAGGCGGUUUGUCGCGUCUGCUGUGAAAUCCCGAGGCUCAACCUCGGGUCUGCAGUGGGUACGGGCAGACUGGAGUGCGGUAGGGGAGAAUGGAAUUCCAGGUGUAGCGGUGAAAUGCGUAGAUAUCUGGAGGAACACCGGUGGCGAAGGCGGAUCUCUGGGCCUUACCUGACGCUCAGGUGCGAAAGCUAGGGGAGCGAACAGG
Molecule: ribosomal RNA, 253 nt
Filed under: uncultured bacterium
Lineage: Bacteria
Description: partial 16S ribosomal RNA
Rfam family: Bacterial small subunit ribosomal RNA
Source: RNAcentral